This 1501-nucleotide long non-coding RNA is filed under the name Canis lupus familiaris (dog). RNAcentral's name for it is "lncRNA (ENSCAFG00000056348.1)". The record is from RNAcentral. Lineage: Eukaryota; Metazoa; Chordata; Mammalia; Carnivora; Canidae.
CUAACAUGUUCAAUAUAAAUAUCAAUGUAACUUAAUUUCAUAAAACUUAAUAUAAAUACAAAUCUUAUGGAAAAUACACAUACACAUUAUUUUUUCUCAUUGCAGUCAUCAGUGACACUUGCCGAAUUAUCAUCUCGGCACAACUGUAGCCUACUGACCAGGAAACUGAUGGCGUUGCUGCUUCCAAGUACAAGGGUUCUCAUCUCUCUACUAGCUUCGUCAAGGAGAUCUUAUACCCAAGCAUAAGAAAGGCCCAGCACUACUGCACAGGAUGCUGCAGAGCUUUACAAAACUAUCCCUGCAGAUAGAUGCUGAAAGGUAAAGUUCCUUAUUCUAAGCUCUUCAGUAAACACUUUAAAUCAUGAGUCUCGAAAAAAGCCGGCAUACUUUCUAGCCCUGGUCACAAAACUAAUAUUUCUUAUCAAGACACCAUUGUAUUAUUUAGAAUUAUAUUUUAUAAGUAACUAUUUAAUAACUUAUUGGAAGAGAAAAGUUUCUGUCCUUUGGUUUUCGUAAGAAUAUUUUACUUAGAUUUUUCCUUGAAAAUAACAUAUCUAAAACACAUCUUUAAAAAUACAAAAUCACCACUCGAUAAAGUAAGACUAAUAAUGUCAACUUUGUGUAGCUCUUUUUGAAUUCAGUGUCUUUGCAAAUGUAUGUGUACUAUAAUUCUCAGGUAUCAGUUCUAGAUUUACUAUAGUAGCAUGGUAUUGUAAAACUCUCAAUUCCUCUAAAAAGAAUUGAUCUCCAGACUCUUUUUUUUUUAAAUGGAUUUAUUUGUUUUUGUCCAAUAGAGACACUCUGGAAGUUUCAUCUCUUGGACCUUGGUUUGCCCAUGAAGAAAGACAGUCCUCCUUCCUUGAGGAAGCCCAAGUAAAUGCUCUUCCAAGGAAACACUGCUACAGGUGCUACAUGUGAACAAUGCUCAUGUUUUUACAUUAAAUUUUUUCAGGUGCAUUAUUAGGUUAUUUUCAAAAUGACAUCAGAGUGGCAAUAGAAUGGCAUCUUUAAUUUGAUACCAAGUCAAAGUAAGCACUGGAGAAGUUUCAAAAAUCAUUUUAGAUUUUGCCGAUUUUUGACGAUUCCUUUUUGUUAACUUAGCUUUGUAUGAGAUAGCUACUGUAAAAAAAAUUCACUUAUGACCACUACUAUUUAAACAUUCAAAACAAGUUCAUAUGGUAUUAUGAUUUCAGUGCUCUUUGGUGAAGUGAAAAAGAAUACUAUGUGAAGUGUGAAUAAUGUGAAUAAUACUAUGUGAAGGCUGAAAUGUUAAAACAACAAUAACAACCAUAAUAAACCAUGUAAUUAAAAUAGAUCAACAUAACUACUAGAAUUAACUAAUAAAUCAAAAUUUUAGCAUGUCUCUUAUAGUUAGGCUCUUAUAGUUAGGUUUUAACAUAAUAAUUUUAGUGUGGUGUUUUUGUUUUGUGUGUGAAUGUGUGUGUUUGCGUUUGCAUUCUUUUUUUUCUUUUAGGGUUUUUUUUUUAAUUUUUAUUUAUUU